UUAAAGCUGAGAAGCUGAUGGAAGUACACUUGGGUUUCUGGGUAAACACCCUUUAUCCCCCACCUUUUCUAGGCUCUGCGUUCCCAUUGAACUGGAAGAUUUUAUGCAUUUCAAGAUAGUUUAAAAAUAUUUACCAUUUCAUUUAACUAUAAAACCAAUUUUGGGGCAGGGCCAUUAUUUCCAUUUUAUAGGUAAGAAAACUGAAGCCCAUCCAGAGAUGGGAAAUAAAUGUGCAGAAAGUUUAUUGUAGUGUGUUUCCGGGAGCAGCAUCUGCUGGGGAAGAGAAGGAAGUAGAGUUGGACAGAGGAAGAAGCUGAGCAGCAAUGUAGGCGAUGCCGAGCCCUGAAGCUGGAUGGCUUUGCAGAGUGGUACUGACUUAGGAUGAGGGGGAAGAGGCCUUUAGAGCACCAUACUGACCACUCAUUGGAUCUGGGGCUUGACCUUGGGAAAAAGAAGGUAGACUUGGUGUCCUGUGAUAGAAGAAAAAGCAGAAUUAUGAAAUGCAUACGGCUCUGUAGCCCACAAAGGAACUACAGGGGAUAGCGACCCAGCCUGUUCAUCUUAAGCGGGGUGGUGGGAGA
This 581-nucleotide long non-coding RNA is filed under the name Callithrix jacchus (white-tufted-ear marmoset). Its description in RNAcentral is "lncRNA (ENSCJAG00000081078.1)". Lineage: Eukaryota; Metazoa; Chordata; Mammalia; Primates; Cebidae. The record is from RNAcentral.